GACGAACGCUGGCGGCGUGCCUAAUACAUGCAAGUCGAACGCUGAUGGCGGAGCUUGCUUCUCUGGAUGAGUUGCGAACGGGUGAGUAACUCGUAGGUAACCUGCCUGGUAGCGGGGGAUAACUAUUGGAAACGAUAGCUAAUACCGCAUAAGAGUAGAUGUCGCAUGACAUUUGCUUAAAAGGUGCACUUGCCUCACUACCACAUGGAGCUGCGUCGUAUUAGCUAGUUGGUGAGGUAAGGGCUCACCAAGGCAAAGAUACAUAGCCGACCUUAGAGGGGGAACGGCCACACUGGGAAUGAGACACGGCCCAGACCCCUAAGGGAGGCAGCAGUAGGGAAACUUCCGCAAAUGAAGGAAAGCUUAACGAGCAACGCCGCGGGAGGGAAGAAAGGUCUCGGAUCGUAAAGCUCCGUUUUAAGAGAAAAAAGAGUUUGAGAGUGAAAAGUUCACACUGUGACGGUACCUUACCAGAAAGGCACGGCUAACUACGUG
Molecule: ribosomal RNA, 495 nt
Filed under: uncultured bacterium
Lineage: Bacteria
Description: partial 16S ribosomal RNA
Rfam family: Bacterial small subunit ribosomal RNA
Source: RNAcentral